AGGCAAUCCAUCUGUUUUUGUUUUCUGUACCACAUUUCCUUCUCUAUAUUUUUUGCCCUGGGCUUUGAGAUACUGCUUCAACUUGAGCUUUUGGGGAACUAAUUAGUGUUUCAACAGCACAGCAGAGACAGCAUUUCACAAAGCAAAACUGCUCCCUAAUCUCAGCAACCCCGAGAGCACAUCACAGUAUGGAGAAAACAUAAGAUCAAAGAAGCAUGCAACACUGAGCUAUCACACGGAGAACACCUGUCUGGGAAGCCACCUAAACUGACAGUGGACUUCUCAAGAGAAAGAAAUAAACUUUCUUGUUUUAGGACACUGAGAUUUUGGAGGUGUCUGUGCAGCAUAAUCUAUCCUAUCCUACUAUAUUCAACUCACAACUCCUUAUGCUCCAGGCCUACUUCUGUCUUUGAUUUCAUAUUAAAUUAAUUCCAACUUCCUCUUCUCUUAGAGCUAUAAUUUCAGUUAUAUAUGGCUGCAUAACAAACCACUCCAAAGCUUAAAACAACAAUAAAUUAUUAUUUCUCAUAAUUCUGUAUAACAAUAACAAGCAAAGUCAAGUCACCCAUAUUUUACAAAGUAGACUGGAGCUCAGAAAUCUAGACAUCUCAAAUCACACAACUAGUAAAUGGGAGAAGUGAAACUGGAACUCAUGUCUUACUACUGCAGGCCCUGUGUUUUUCAUUUUUUUUUUUUUUGGUUUGUUUUUUGCUAUUAAUGUAUCACAGUUACUUUGGCCAG
This 741-nucleotide long non-coding RNA is filed under the name Homo sapiens (human). RNAcentral describes it as "HSALNT0022571". Lineage: Eukaryota; Metazoa; Chordata; Mammalia; Primates; Hominidae. The record is from RNAcentral.